AUACGGAGGAUCCGAGCGUUAUCCGGAUUUAUUGGGUUUAAAGGGAGCGUAGAUGGAUGUUUAAGUCAGUUGUGAAAGUUUGCGGCUCAACCGUAAAAUUGCAGUUGACACUGGAUAUCUUGAGUGCAGUUGAGGCAGGCGGAAUUCGUGGUGUAGCGGUGAAAUGCUUAGAUAUCACGAAGAACUCCGAUUGCGAAGGCAGCCUGCUAAGCUGCAACUGACAUUGAGGCUCGAAAGUGUGGGUAUCAAACAGGAUUAGAUACCCUGGUAGUCCACACGGUAAACGAUGAAUACUCGCUGUUUGCGAUAUACGGCAAGCGGCCAAGCGAAAGCGUUAAGUAUUCCACCUGGGGAGUACGCCGGCAACGGUGAAACUCAAAUGAAUUGACGGGG
RNAcentral lists this ribosomal RNA (393 nucleotides) under uncultured bacterium. RNAcentral's name for it is "partial 16S ribosomal RNA". It matches the Rfam family "Bacterial small subunit ribosomal RNA", at positions 523 to 918 of the family's 1533-position model. The record is from RNAcentral.